CUUCUUUGAUUAAUUGAAUUAAUUUGAAAAAGUUGUCCUUCAUGGAAGGGGCGGGUGGUGGAGGGUCCAAAAAAAAAUAAAAAAAAUAAAAAAAUGUUAUAAAAACACCUACAAAAAUGUUUUGUAGGUGUUUUUAUUACGUUUUAUACAUUUUGUACAACAUCAACAAAUUCAUCAUCUUCAUUAUCCCCCACGUUGCUCCACCUCCUUGUGGGAAGAGCCAGGCGAGGCCACAGAGCAGACUCCUCCAUCUCAUCCCACCAACUCUGUCAGUCCACCAGGCCCCACAAUGCAGCCUCCACACCACUGCAGUAACAGCCACAUCUUCCCAUCACAAAGCCUCAGUACUAUCUCAAUGUGUUGGAUGGCCUCCAGAGAGAGCACACCUGGCAGCAUGGAGCACUUUGAUGUGAUUGGCUGUUCAGCAGGAAGUUUCAUCUGGCUAAACAGAAGGGAUGAUGAAUCUGACAGAGAAUGUUUUGUAUAUUAAAAAAAAGAUGAAACGUACAGAAUGACUUGAUUGGUCAUUUAAUAACACACAAAACAGUUUUUUUUUAAAUACAUGGAAUAAUUUUAUUUGAUUAGAGUUCCUCUGUCCAGUGUCUGUGUUCUUUUUCCCAUCUUAAUCUUUUCUUUUUAUUGGCCAGUCUGAGAUAUGGCUUUUUCUUUGCUAAUCUGCCUAGAAGGCCAAUUUGAAAUGUCUAAGGGACCCCAAACUUUUAAACGGUAGUGUACACUACCAGUCAAAUGUUUGGA
This is a long non-coding RNA of Salvelinus fontinalis (brook trout), 756 nucleotides long. RefSeq lists it as uncharacterized. The record is from RefSeq and is a predicted model, not a curated record. NCBI's taxonomy places the organism in Eukaryota, Metazoa, Chordata, Actinopteri, Salmoniformes, Salmonidae. The transcript has 3 exons.